AGAGUUUGAUCAUGGCUCAGGAUGAACGCUAGCUACAGGCUUAACACAUGCAAGUCGAGGGGAAACGACAUCGAAAGCUUGCUUUUGAUGGGCGUCGACCGGCGCACGGGUGAGUAACGCGUAUCCAACCUGCCCACCACUUGGGGAUAACCUUGCGAAAGUAAGACUAAUACCCAAUGACGUCUCUAGAAGACAUCUGAAAGGGAUUAAAGAUUUAUCGGUGAUGGAUGGGGAUGCGUCUGAUUAGCUUGUUGGCGGGGUAACGGCCACCAAGGCUACGAUCAGUAGGGGUUCUGAGAGGAAGGUCCCCCANAUUGGAACUGAGACACGGUCCAAACUCCUACGGAGGC
Molecule: ribosomal RNA, 350 nt
Filed under: uncultured bacterium
Lineage: Bacteria
Description: bacterial SSU rRNA
Rfam family: Bacterial small subunit ribosomal RNA
Source: RNAcentral